This 406-nucleotide transfer-messenger RNA is filed under the name Patescibacteria group bacterium. It matches the Rfam family "transfer-messenger RNA". Rfam says of the family: Bacterial tmRNA, also known as 10Sa RNA or SsrA, is named for its dual tRNA and mRNA-like properties. Its role is to liberate the mRNA from a stalled ribosome. The record is from RNAcentral.
GGGGAUGACAGGCUUCGACAUCGUGAUUUCCUGAUCACGCCGUCUCUGUUCGGGAUUGCAACGGUUCCCGUUACCCACUUGUUGCAAACCAUAUCUGCCAAAUCAGAUAUUCUCGCGAAAGCUCGCACUUUCUUCGAGGGACUUCGGUUCCCCGCGCUUGUGCCUGCCUACGCAUAAGUUCUCACUGAUAGAGAACACGUCUCACCUCCUACUCCUGCUAAGCGGAUGAGGCGCAAUCAGCAGGACGGAACAUGAUUUGAUGUGACCAUGCCUCCGUAAUCCAGCAUCAGCCCUCUUGCCUUUUUCUUUGUUCUUUUCCUUGUGAGGCAGAGUACGAAAAGUUCAUGACAGUACAGACACGUUUUCACCACGUUGGACUCGGGUUCAAUUCCCGGCAUCUCCACCA